AGCCUUAAGUUAUUAUUUUAGGUGAAGCCUGCCCAGUGCUAAUUGUAAACGGCCGCAGUACCUUGACUGUGCUAAGGUAGCAUAAUCAGUUGGCUUUUAAAUGGAGUCGGGAAUGAAUGGAUUUAUAGGGUUAAGCUGUCUCCUCUAUACUAAUUUGAAUUUACUUAGUAGGUGAAAAUUCCUACAUAAAGAAAAAAGACGAGAAGACCCUAGGAGUUUUGAUUAAGGUUAACACAGGUUAACUAUUGUUUUUGUUGGGGCGACAUAGGAGAAAAUGAACCUCCUUUAUUGAUUUGCCGACUUAGUAUGUGCAAGUAAACUACCCUAGGGAUAACAGCGUAAUUCUUUAAGAGCUUGCGACCUCGAUGUUGGACUAGGAAUUUGGCAGGCUAGCCGCCUAUUUAUAUUGUUCUGUUCGAACUAUUUUUCCU
RNAcentral lists this ribosomal RNA (431 nucleotides) under Elysia pusilla. RNAcentral's name for it is "partial 16S ribosomal RNA". It matches the Rfam family "Archaeal large subunit ribosomal RNA", at positions 1920 to 2665 of the family's 2987-position model. Lineage: Eukaryota; Metazoa; Mollusca; Gastropoda; Plakobranchidae. The record is from RNAcentral.